This is a non-coding RNA of Cinara cedri, 1279 nucleotides long. NCBI's taxonomy places the organism in Eukaryota, Metazoa, Arthropoda, Insecta, Hemiptera, Aphididae. The record is from the annotation of a GenBank genome assembly.
CACAUUAACUGUCACACACUUUUCCUAUUCAUUACUCUAGUGGUCAUAUGUACAAUUUAGUGCACACACCACAAAUGGCCAUACUUGUUUUUGUGUACAAUAUUUUGUACACUUUUUGUCUUGUAUUCCACUAUUAUUGUGCUCAAAAACCUGACACGGAAGUGUUGAUUUUAUAUAGGAACAUGAAAGUGUACAAAAAAAUAUACACAUGACGUUUAAUGUGUUAAGUGUAGUCAAAGACGAUGUUUUUGCAUGCUUAGAUUAGAUAUAGCAUACAGCAUUUAAGGAGUAUCCUGUGGUAACACCAACAUUGAUUUGAACAGCCACUAUUCUAGGUGAGAAGUUGAGAAGGUAGGAUACAUAAGGUUAUUUCAUUUAUAUCUGUAAGCAACAAUAAACCAUUGCUGAGGAAAGACGAUUGAGCGCAGUUCAGUAAUACAUAAUUUCAAAUACCGCAAUAAAGUACCAUUGUAAAAAAAUUAAAAAUUAAACAAAGUUGUCCGAUGAUUUUUGAAAUUUUACCAUGUCUAGACAUAAAAACCAAUAUAAGUAUUAUUACAAAGUUUCAAGUCCCUACAUGUAUAAAAUAACCGAAUUACAGAAAAAAAACUCCCAAAAAUUAAAAUUCCUUAAAUCUCAAAAGUAGAACAAAAAAUUUUGAUAAUGAUACUGUAAGAAAGUAAACCAAAAAGUUAACAAAAAAGGUAUCUUGUGAUUUUUCGGUUAAAUCAUUUUUCCUGGUAGAAAACGUCAGUGAUUUUAUAAAAUAAUAAAAUCGUGAAAUUGUACGUUUUCCUGCGUUUUUCCCACUUAAGUGUUCUUGUUUAAAAAAAUGGCGUCGUAUAUCAAAAAAUAAUGAACUUUCUAAAGUACCAUCUAGACAACUUGAGCUUUCAGAAAAGUUGCAGUUCGUAAAGAUCGGAGCUAGUUUACUAAGAAAAAACGUGUCCACAGACUAGAACAAAAACAAAUAAAUAGCAUUGUAAAACCAAUAGCUCACUCGCUACGCUUGGAAUCUAAAAUAUUUAUUAUUUUAAAUUAUUAGAUGAUUCAAUGCAUCUUCAGAUUACGUGUGCUCAAUAAUCGAACUAUUCGUACUUCACACUUUACCAUCUUCCAGCCAAGAGCGCGUGAUUGACAACCACUGCAGAUCUUAAACCGUGGUGAUAAUUACACAUGAACGUUAUUUUGCUUGUAUGUGUAUUUUGUCCUAGAAAGACUACUCACAUUAUAAUCUUAUGGAAAAAUAAUUGAUGACAGGUGAUUAACAUAUUUAAAG